RNAcentral lists this ribosomal RNA (252 nucleotides) under uncultured bacterium. RNAcentral describes it as "partial 16S ribosomal RNA". It matches the Rfam family "Bacterial small subunit ribosomal RNA", at positions 525 to 776 of the family's 1533-position model. The record is from RNAcentral.
ACGUAGGGAGCGAGCGUUGUCCGGAAUUACUGGGCGUAAAGGGCGUGUAGGCGGAAAUUUAAGUAAGGUGUGAAAACUUCGGGCUCAACCCGGAGACUGCACUUUAAACUGGAUUUCUUGAGGGCAGGAGAGGAAAGUGGAAUUCCUAGUGUAGCGGUGAAAUGCGUAGAUAUUAGGAGGAACAUCAGUGGCGAAGGCGACUUUCUGGACUGUACCUGACGCUGAGGCGCGAAAGCAUGGGUAGCAAACAGG